CCCUGGCUCAGCCGGCCGCCUCAACGUGGUGCCAGGGUCUAGUACUCUCUUACUAGAGAGGAAGAUAAGUGCCUG
This 75-nucleotide non-coding RNA is filed under the name Trypanosoma cruzi strain CL Brener. The record is from RNAcentral. Lineage: Eukaryota; Euglenozoa; Kinetoplastea; Trypanosomatida; Trypanosomatidae.